RNAcentral lists this ribosomal RNA (301 nucleotides) under uncultured bacterium. Its description in RNAcentral is "partial 16S ribosomal RNA". It matches the Rfam family "Bacterial small subunit ribosomal RNA", at positions 509 to 807 of the family's 1533-position model. The record is from RNAcentral.
CAGCAGCCGCGGUAAUACGUAGGGUGCAAGCGUUAAUCGGAAUUACUGGGCGUAAAGCGUGCGCAGGCGGUUAUAUAAGUCUGAUGUGAAAGCCCCCGGCUCAACCGGGGAGGGUCAUUGGAAACUGGGAAACUUGAGUGCAGAAGAGGAGAGUGGAAUUCCACAUGUAGCGGUGAAAUGCGUAGAGAUGUGGAGGAACACCAGUGGCGAAGGCGACUCUCUGGUCUGUAACUGACGCUGAGACGCGAAAGCCAGGGGAGCGAACAGGAUUAGAUACCCCCGUAGUCCCUGUCUCUUAUAC